This 162-nucleotide ribosomal RNA is filed under the name Purpuraturris cristata. RNAcentral describes it as "partial 28S ribosomal RNA". The stretch from base 97 to 162 matches the Rfam family "Eukaryotic large subunit ribosomal RNA", at positions 1 to 66 of the family's 3401-position model. Lineage: Eukaryota; Metazoa; Mollusca; Gastropoda; Neogastropoda; Turridae. The record is from RNAcentral.
GGACAUGGCUCGGACGCGCUGAUCAUGCCUUCGUCCCGCCCCCGCACUCGAACCUCCAGGGAGGAGGGAGAAGGGGGGGAGGGGAGCUCCGAUUUCCGACCUCAGAUCGGACGAGAUUACCCGCUGAAUUUAAGCAUAUCACUAAGCGGAGGAAAAGAAACU